AUGAACGCUGGCGGCGUGCCUCACACAUGCAAGUCGAGCGAACAGACGAGGAGCUUGCUCCUCUGACGUUAGCGGCGGACGGGUGAGUAACACGUGGAUAACCUACCUAUAAGACUGGAAUAACUUCGGGAAACCGGAGCUAAUACCGGAUAAUAUAUUGAACCGCAUGGUUCAAUAGUGAAAGACGGUUUUGCUGUCACUUAUAGAUGGAUCCGCGCCGCAUUAGCUAGUUGGUAAGGUAACGGCUUACCAAGGCAACGAUGCGUAGCCGACCUGAGAGGGUGAUCGGCCACACUGGAACUGAGACACGGUCCAGACUCCUACGGGAGGCAGCAGUAGGGAAUCUUCCGCAAUGGGCGAAAGCUUGACGGAGCAACGCCGCGUGAGUGAUGAAGGUCUUCGGAUCGUAAAACUCUGUUAUUAGGGAAGAACAAAUGUGUAAGUAACUAUGCACGUCUUGACGGUACCUAAUCAGAAAGCCACGGCUAACUACGUG
This 496-nucleotide ribosomal RNA is filed under the name uncultured bacterium. Its description in RNAcentral is "partial 16S ribosomal RNA". It matches the Rfam family "Bacterial small subunit ribosomal RNA", at positions 29 to 507 of the family's 1533-position model. The record is from RNAcentral.